GAACGGCAGCACGGGAGCAAUCCUGGUGGCGAGUGGCGAACGGGUGAGUAAAGUAUCGGAACGUGCCCAGUCGUGGGGGAUAACGUAGCGAAAGUUACGCUAAUACCGCAUACGAUCUAUGGAUGAAAGCGGGGGAUCGCAAGACCUCGCGCGAUUGGAGCGGCCGAUAUCAGAUUAGGUAGUUGGUGGGGUAAAGGCUCACCAAGCCGACGAUCUGUAGCUGGUCUGAGAGGACGACCAGCCACACUGGGACUGAGACACGGCCCAGACUCCUACGGGAGGCAGCAGUGGGGAAUUUUGGACAAUGGGCGAAAGCCUGAUCCAGCCAUGCCGCGUGCAGGAUGAAGGCCUUCGGGUUGUAAACUGCUUUUGUACGGAACGAAAAGGUUUGGCCUAAUAAGCUGAGCUCAUGACGGUACCGUAAGAAUAAGCACCGGCUAACUACGUG
RNAcentral lists this ribosomal RNA (448 nucleotides) under uncultured bacterium. RNAcentral describes it as "bacterial SSU rRNA". It matches the Rfam family "Bacterial small subunit ribosomal RNA", at positions 64 to 507 of the family's 1533-position model. The record is from RNAcentral.